GCGGGGGGGUGGCGGGGCUCCGAGCUGUCCGAGACAAACACGAGAGGCGUGCAGCUCGGGAGCAGGGGCGAGAGGCAGAGCGCGGGCAACGCGGAGCGCGGGCAAGUCUGAGGAGUCCCGGGGCCCGCUGGAGGCGGCGGGUAGUCAGUCCUAGGGACAGGCUCGAGGAUGGAGAACCCGGGAGCUGACUGGAGAAACGGGGACGAACGGGCAACCCCGGGAGAAGAGGAAGGACCUAAGUAUGAAUUACAUAGACCUCAGUAUAGACUCACAGGAUCUGACGUACACAUGGAAUUGAGUCUGAUUCUCCUGGUAUCUCUAAUCAAAGCCCUGCUGAGUUCAGGCUGCGGAGAAGAGUUGGGGAAACCUGUCUCCUCCAGAUUUGUUUCCUUCUAAACAGCUUGAAGAGAGAGAAAAAUAAAGCG
This 425-nucleotide long non-coding RNA is filed under the name Fukomys damarensis (Damara mole-rat). RNAcentral describes it as "lncRNA (ENSFDAG00000032195.1)". Lineage: Eukaryota; Metazoa; Chordata; Mammalia; Rodentia; Bathyergidae. The record is from RNAcentral.